UUCCAGACUCCUACGGGAGGCAGCAGUGGGGAAUAUUGCACAAUGGGGGGAACCCUGAUGCAGCGACGCCGCGUGGGUGAAGGAGCGUUUCGGCGCGUAAAGCCCUAUCGGCAGGGGAGAGGGAGGACGGUACCUGACUAAGAAGCCCCGGCUAGCUACGUGCCAGCAGCCGCGGUAAUACGGAGGGGGCAAGCGUUAUCCGGAUUUACUGGGGGUAAAGGGGGCGCAGACGGCAGCGCAAGCCAGGAGUGAAAGCCCGGGGCCCAACCCCGGGACUGCUCUUGGAACUGCGCGGCUGGAGUGCAGGAGGGGCAGGCGGAAUUCCUGGUGUAGCGGUGAAAUGCGUAGAUAUCAGGAGGAACACCGGUGGCGAAGGCGGCCUGCUGGACUGCGACUGACGUUGAGGCCCGAAAGCGUGGGGAGCAAACAGGAUUAGAUACCCCAGUAGG
Molecule: ribosomal RNA, 449 nt
Filed under: uncultured bacterium
Lineage: Bacteria
Description: partial 16S ribosomal RNA
Rfam family: Bacterial small subunit ribosomal RNA
Source: RNAcentral